This 467-nucleotide ribosomal RNA is filed under the name uncultured bacterium. Its description in RNAcentral is "bacterial SSU rRNA". It matches the Rfam family "Bacterial small subunit ribosomal RNA", at positions 10 to 523 of the family's 1533-position model. The record is from RNAcentral.
AGUUUGAUCCUGGCUCAGAACGAACGCUGGCGGCAUGCCUAAUACAUGCAAGUCGAACGAUCUCUUCGGAGAUAGUGGCGCACGGGUGCGUAACGCGUGGGAAUCUGCCCUUGGGUUCGGAAUAACAGCGGGAAACUGCUGCUAAUACCGGAUGAUGACGUAAGUCCAAAGAUUUAUCGCCCAGGGAUGAGCCCGCGUAGGAUUAGGUAGUUGGUGGGGUAAAGGCCUACCAAGCCUACGAUCCUUAGCUGGUCUGAGAGGAUGAUCAGCCACAUUGGGACUGAGACACGGCCCAAACUCCUACGGGAGGCAGCAGUGGGGAAUCUUAGACAAUGGGCGCAAGCCUGAUCUAGCCAUGCCGCGUGAUCGAUGAAGGCCUUAGGGUUGUAAAGAUCUUUCAGAUGGGAAGAUAAUGACGGUACCAUCAGAAGAAGCCCCGGCUAACUCCGUGCCAGCAGCCGCGGUAA